This 497-nucleotide ribosomal RNA is filed under the name uncultured bacterium. Its description in RNAcentral is "partial 16S ribosomal RNA". It matches the Rfam family "Bacterial small subunit ribosomal RNA", at positions 28 to 507 of the family's 1533-position model. The record is from RNAcentral.
GAUGAACGCUGGCGGCGUGCCUAAUACAUGCAAGUAGAACGCUGAAGCUUGGUGCUUGCACCGAGCGGAUGAGUUGCGAACGGGUGAGUAACGCGUAGGUAACCUGCCUCUUAGCGGGGGAUAACUAUUGGAAACGAUAGCUAAUACCGCAUAAAAGUCGAUAUCGCAUGAUAUUGAUUUGAAAGGUGCAAAUGCAUCACUAAGAGAUGGACCUGCGUUGUAUUAGCUAGUUGGUGAGGUAACGGCUCACCAAGGCGACGAUACAUAGCCGACCUGAGAGGGUGAUCGGCCACACUGGGACUGAGACACGGCCCAGACUCCUACGGGAGGCAGCAGUAGGGAAUCUUCGGCAAUAGGGGCAACCCUGACCGAGCAACGCCGCGUGAGUGAAGAAGGUUUUCGGAUCGUAAAGCUCGGUUGUAAGAGAAGAACGAGUGUGAGAGUGGAAAGUUCACACUGUGACGGUAACUGACCAGAAAGGGACGGCUAACUACGUG